This 427-nucleotide ribosomal RNA is filed under the name uncultured bacterium. RNAcentral describes it as "partial 16S ribosomal RNA". It matches the Rfam family "Bacterial small subunit ribosomal RNA", at positions 355 to 774 of the family's 1533-position model. The record is from RNAcentral.
UAGGGAAUCUUCGGCAAUGGACGAAAGUCUGACCGAGCAACGCCGCGUGAGUGAAGAAGGUUUUCGGAUCGUAAAACUCUGUUGUUAGAGAAGAACAAGGACGUUAGUAACUGAACGUCCCCUGACGGUAUCUAACCAGAAAGCCACGGCUAACUACGUGCCAGCAGCCGCGGUAAUACGUAGGAGGCAAGCGUUGUCCGGAUUUAUUGGGCGUAAAGCGAGCGCAGGCGGUUUCUUAAGUCUGAUGUGAAAGCCCCCGGCUCAACCGGGGAGGGUCAUUGGAAACUGGGAGACUUGAGUGCAGAAGAGGAGAGUGGAAUUCCAUGUGUAGCGGUGAAAUGCGUAGAUAUAUGGAGGAACACCAGUGGCGAAGGCGGCUCUCUGGUCUGUAACUGACGCUGAGGCUCGAAAGCGUGGGGAGCAAACA